UACGUAGGGGGCAAGCGUUGUCCGGAAUCAUUGGGCGUAAAGCGCGUGUAGGCGGCUCGGUAAGUCCGCUGUGAAAGUCCAGGGCUCAACCCUGGGAUGCGGGUGGAUACUGCCGAGCUCGAGUCCGGAAGAGGCGAGUGGAAUUCCUGGUGUAGCGGUGAAAUGCGCAGAUAUCAGGAGGAACACCAAUGGCGAAGGCAGCUCGCUGGGACGUGACUGACGCUGAGACGCGAAAGCGUGGGGAGCAAACAGG
This 253-nucleotide ribosomal RNA is filed under the name uncultured bacterium. Its description in RNAcentral is "partial 16S ribosomal RNA". It matches the Rfam family "Bacterial small subunit ribosomal RNA", at positions 524 to 776 of the family's 1533-position model. The record is from RNAcentral.